AGAGUUUGAUCCUGGCUCAGAAUCAACGCUGGCGGCGUGCCUAACACAUGCAAGUCGAACGCGAAAGUCCCGCAAGGGAUCGGUAGAGUGGCAAACGGGUGAGUAACACGUGGGUGACCUGCCUUCGAGUGGGGGAUAACGUCCCGAAAGGGACGCUAAUACCGCAUAACAUGCCGCCUUUUAAGAGGUGGACAUCAAAGCUGGGGAUCGCAAGACCUAGCGCUGGAAGAGGGGCCCGCGUCCGAUUAGCUAGUUGGUGGGGUAAUGGCUCACCAAGGCAACGAUCGGUAGCCGGCCUGAGAGGGCGGACGGCCACACUGGGACUGAGACACGGCCCAGACUCCUACGGGAGGCAGCAGUGGGGAAUUGUUCGCAAUGGGCGCAAGCCUGACGACGCAACGCCGCGUGGAGGAUGAAGACCUUCGGGUCGUAAACUCCUUUCGAUCGAGACGAACGGCCUCCGGGUGAACAAUCCGGAGGAGUGACGUACCGAGAGAAGAG
RNAcentral lists this ribosomal RNA (501 nucleotides) under uncultured Acidobacteriaceae bacterium. Its description in RNAcentral is "bacterial SSU rRNA". It matches the Rfam family "Bacterial small subunit ribosomal RNA", at positions 8 to 489 of the family's 1533-position model. Lineage: Bacteria; Pseudomonadati; Acidobacteriota; Terriglobia; Terriglobales; Acidobacteriaceae. The record is from RNAcentral.